Molecule: non-coding RNA, 121 nt
Organism: Podarcis lilfordi (Lilford's wall lizard)
Lineage: Eukaryota; Metazoa; Chordata; Lepidosauria; Squamata; Lacertidae
Source: the annotation of a GenBank genome assembly
CGUCCAGUAGCACCUUAGAGACCAACUAAGUUUGUUCUGGGUAUAAGCUUUCAUGUGCAUGCACACUUCUUCAGCUUAUAUCCAGAACAACCGUAGUUGGUCUCUAAGGUGCUACUGGACG